This 553-nucleotide ribosomal RNA is filed under the name Planophila sp. ASYA16. RNAcentral describes it as "SSU rRNA". The stretch from base 1 to 310 matches the Rfam family "Eukaryotic small subunit ribosomal RNA", at positions 1525 to 1831 of the family's 1831-position model. The record is from RNAcentral. Lineage: Eukaryota; Viridiplantae; Chlorophyta; Ulvophyceae; Ulotrichales; Planophilaceae.
UUCCUUGGUCGAAAGGUCCGGGUAAUCUUUGUAAACCGUAUCGUGAUGGGGAUAGAACAUUGCAAUUAUUGUUCUUCAACGAGGAAUGCCUAGUAAGCGUGAGUCAUCAUCUCGCGUUGAUUACGUCCCUGCCCUUUGUACACACCGCCCGUCGCUCCUACCGAUUGAACGUGCUGGUGAAGACAUCGGAUUGGCUGUUUCGCUAGGUUUCCUAGCGUCACAGCUGAGAAGUUGUUUAAACCCUCCCGUUUAGAGGAAGGAGAAGUCGUAACAAGGUUUCCGUAUUUAUGUGUUUACUUGCGGAUAAAAGGGCCACUGAAAAGGUGCUCAGCCCUAGUGAGCGGGUCAACUUUACCCUAACUUGACCCCAGCUUGCAACACUGUCCAAUUGCCGGAACAUCCCGCCAAGUCAGAGGUACCGCCUCACGAGUGAAAGCUUGGUGGGGCAACACGGUGAAAGUCUUUGGUAUGGUAAAAAUCCUUGGGAUAGAGACAAUGCGCAGCCAAGCCCUAAGGACCCCCGCGGAGUAUGGGUGCAGUUCACACACUAAAU